CAUGCAGGUGGUGUGUUAAGUCAGAUGUGAAAGCCCGGGGCUCAACCUCGGAAUAGCAUUUGAAACUGGCACACUAGAGUACUGUAGAGGGGGGUAGAAUUUCAGGUGUAGCGGUGAAAUGCGUAGAGAUCUGAAGGAAUACCAGUGGCGAAGGCGGCCCCCUGGACAGAUACUGACACUCAGAUGCGAAAGCGUGGGGAGCAAACA
This 207-nucleotide ribosomal RNA is filed under the name uncultured bacterium. RNAcentral describes it as "partial 16S ribosomal RNA". It matches the Rfam family "Bacterial small subunit ribosomal RNA", at positions 568 to 774 of the family's 1533-position model. The record is from RNAcentral.